AUUGAACGCUGGCGGCAUGCCUUACACAUGCAAGUCGAACGGCAGCACGGGAGCAAUCCUGGUGGCGAGUGGCGAACGGGUGAGUAAUAUAUCGGAACGUGCCCAGUCGUGGGGAUAACGUAGCGAAAGCUACGCUAAUACCGCAUACGAUCUAUGGAUGAAAGCGGGGGAUCGCAAGACCUCGCGCGAUUGGAGCGGCCGAUAUCAGAUUAGGUAGUUGGUGAGGUAAAGGCUCACCAAGCCGACGAUCUGUAGCUGGUCUGAGAGGACGACCAGCCACACUGGGACUGAGACACGGCCCAGACUCCUACGGGAGGCAGCAGUGGGGAAUUUUUGGACAAUGGACGCAAGUCUGAUCCAGCCAUUCCGCGUGCAGGAUGAAGGCCCUCGGGUUGUAAACUGCUUUUGUACGGAACGAAAGGUUCGUAUUAAUACUAGGAGACGUCAUGACGGUACCGUAACGAAUAAGACACCGGACGU
RNAcentral lists this ribosomal RNA (480 nucleotides) under uncultured bacterium. Its description in RNAcentral is "bacterial SSU rRNA". It matches the Rfam family "Bacterial small subunit ribosomal RNA", at positions 30 to 503 of the family's 1533-position model. The record is from RNAcentral.